UACGAAGGGGGCUAGCGUUGUUCGGAAUUACUGGGCGUAAAGCGUGCGCAGGCGGUUAUGUAAGACAGAUGUGAAAUGCCCGGGCUAACCUGGGAACUGCAUUUGUGACUGCAUGGCUAGAGUUUGGCAGAGGGGGGUAGAAUUCCACGUGUAGCAGUGAAAUGCGUAGAUAUGUGGAGGAACACCGAUGGCGAAGGCAGCCCCCUGGGUCAAGACUGACGCUCAUGCACGAAAGGCGUGGGGAGCAAACGAGG
RNAcentral lists this ribosomal RNA (254 nucleotides) under uncultured bacterium. RNAcentral describes it as "partial 16S ribosomal RNA". It matches the Rfam family "Bacterial small subunit ribosomal RNA", at positions 524 to 777 of the family's 1533-position model. The record is from RNAcentral.